RNAcentral lists this long non-coding RNA (234 nucleotides) under Lathyrus oleraceus (garden pea). Its description in RNAcentral is "Pisum sativum (pea) long non-coding RNA (PSAT_LNC037784)". The record is from RNAcentral. Lineage: Eukaryota; Viridiplantae; Streptophyta; Magnoliopsida; Fabales; Fabaceae.
UGAAGUGUCGAAGGAACCAUACAAAUCCAAAUUUUAUGUCGGUUGUUCUUCAAUGACCAAUGACUUUGCAGUCACAAUUCAAAAAAAAAGAAUCAAAGAAAAAGCCCGCUAAGUCAAACACCUUAAAAGGAGACUUAGGCAAAAACUGGGGCAAUCCCGAUGGGUUAAAGCUUCAAACAAAGCGGUCCAUGCAAAAGUUAGGGAUCAAAAACAAAAAUCGAAAGAGACAAUGAA